This is a non-coding RNA of Peromyscus maniculatus bairdii (prairie deer mouse), 499 nucleotides long. NCBI's taxonomy places the organism in Eukaryota, Metazoa, Chordata, Mammalia, Rodentia, Cricetidae. The record is from RefSeq and is a predicted model, not a curated record.
UCCUCCUCCUGUUCACUAGCCUUUCCCAGGCACCCAGUCUGUGUCUGCACACAGAGCAGCCACGCAGCUGUGCUGAGACCCAAAAGCCCGGGAGCAGGAUUUGAGGACACCGAGGUAGCUUGAUGCGCAAGCUCCACCCUUCCACACCAGCCAUGGCUUCAGGAGGACGCUCGUACUCCAGGGAACCCAGAGAGCAGGCGGAGUCCGAAGCCGGCGGAACAGAGCCAGGCUGCACCCAAACCACACUGCAAAGCGAAGCCAGGAGUCUGGAGCCCCCCGGCCCUUGGCACCUGCCCAGCCUGCACAGUGAGCCAAGCCGCUGUAGCUUUUCUUCCAACCUUGAUGUACGCUACCCGAUGGCUCCAAGCCCAGGGUCUAUCUAGGCCUCGCCCUCACCCCCUCGGCCGCCCCUGCGCGCCCUCUGGCAGGUCCUGCCUCUUUCCUCCCUCAGGCCCCUCCCAUCUAUCCUGGGAGGUCCUGCCCUCCCUCCAAAGGCCCC